CUGUUUAUUUUGCAUCCUGCAUGUAUAUUUUCGCUCAUAGUAGUGCCAUUAUGUAUGUAGUAGCUUCCUCACGCCAUCUGAUUGAUAUUGAGAUGUACAAAUUCAUCCAAGGCUCCAUUCAUAAAUCAUAACUCUACCCUACUAUUUUACUAAUUUAUUGUGAGGUUAUCCUUCAUGGUUUGCACAUUGUUAUUUCUUAGGCACAUAGACGCAUGAAUGUCCUUAUUAAUAAAUAUUUUUGUUCCAGCGAUUCCCUACUGAAGAAAGAACGCGCAAACAUUGCCAUGCAAAGGACUAUUUGUUAGAUAAUGAUUCCUCGCGUAUUCAUUUUCUUCCUGUCUUGGGAGAUAAUUUUCCAGAUUCUACCUUUACAGAUGGCCUUUAUCACUUUUCAGGUAAAACAAUGAAUUAUCUUUGUUUGUUCUAGGAGAUAUAUACCACCCUUGGGAACCAAGGAAAGAAAGGCUCCUUCUUCUAUCUUCGUCAUUUGCAAUAUCAAUUGGAUCUCUCCGUUGUGAAGUGCUAUCUUCGCUAUCUACACUCACAAUGUUACUGAUUUGUGUCCAAUCACGCUUUCUCUACUAUCAUUUGCAAGAUGAAGCCUGAGGACACUAUCAUUCCUUCCUACUAAAUGUCAGCCACUACUAUUUGCAUUAGCUUUGCCUCAGAACAACCCCUUUUUCAUUUCAAAAGAGGAAGUAGCAGUUCUCACUAAUGAUCAGCUAUAUAAGCUAUCGUAGAUUUUCUUUGUUUAACAAAGACAACGACCCGGUACUGUCAAUUUCUCUCGACCUUCAUUUCCACUAUCUGUUAUCUCAUAUUAUGUU
This is a long non-coding RNA of Triticum aestivum (bread wheat), 827 nucleotides long. RefSeq lists it as uncharacterized. The record is from RefSeq and is a predicted model, not a curated record. NCBI's taxonomy places the organism in Eukaryota, Viridiplantae, Streptophyta, Magnoliopsida, Poales, Poaceae. The transcript has 3 exons.